This is a long non-coding RNA of Gallus gallus (chicken), 946 nucleotides long. The record is from Ensembl. Lineage: Eukaryota; Metazoa; Chordata; Aves; Galliformes; Phasianidae.
CUGUUUGGAGAUCACUCCUCUUGGAGCCCUUCUGUGAGCCCAGGACACGGGUGUGAAGAUUUCCCACAAGGAGCAUUUCUGAGACCAUCUAUAGCAGUGAUUGAGGGGUCUAGAGGAAUAAAAGAGCCCUGCAAGUAUAAGAUGAAUUAUAAGAUACUCAAACCCACUUUCAUGAAAGAGAGAUUCAUAUUCCUGGAGGUGUAGUACUUUGAGAUACAGUAGAAGCAGUCUCUGAAACUCUACCCUGUCUUCUGGCUCCACUUGACACCAAAAGCCUUUCACCAGCCUGGCUGAGACAUAGCAAACCCCAAAGAUUUUCCUUGUUUGUGCUCCCUGAGCACACUUACGGUUUGGUGAAGCAGUUCAUUCAGGGUGUGCAAGAAGGAACAGAAGAAAGUUAACAUCAAGCCACGCUCUCUCUUCUUUCAAAGUGUCCUAUGUGGAGAACAGGAUACCACAGGAUUUUUCUGCCUUUGGCUGAAGUUUUCCACCUUUCCUGGCAAGUUUCCAGCAGUAGCAGUAGAUUUGUUCAGUUGAAUUUUAUGUUCACUAAGAAAUCAAAGCUGGACUUGGGUAAGCAAUUAAGAUUCACUUUUUUUUUGAGAGAAUGAUGAGAAUUUUGUAUUAAGGAACAGAUCUGCACCAUAUUUAUGAACAUCCAAAGACUGCUGAAAAUACAAGAAUUAGAAGAGUAAUUCUAUGGCAGAUCAGACUAUGGCUGAGGCCUUUCAAUGUGGCAACUCAUUUGAGAGCAUCACUGACAAAAGAAAGGGCUUUUAGGGAAUUUUUAACUAUGUACCAAGUGAAGUGUGGACCCUAAGCAUGUAUGAUUAAUUGCUUGCUUGCUCUUUCUUCCAUUAUUUUCUUCCUUAACUCUUCACCUGUUUACAUAUCCUGCUUUCAUAGUUUACAACUGUGCACAGCAUGAAUAAAGCAAGUUCUGGUU